AGUGGACGCAUCACUGGUGUUCGGGUUGUCAUGCCAAUGGCACUGCCCGGUAGCUAAAUGCGGAAGAGAUAAGUGCUGAAAGCAUCUAAGCACGAAACUUGCCCCGAGAUGAGUUCUCCCUGAGACUAUAAGUCUCCUGAAGGAACGUUGAAGACGACGACGUUGAUAGGCCGGGUGUGUAAGCGCAGCGAUGCGUUGAGCUAACCGGUACUAAUGAACCGUGAGGCUUAACCUU
Molecule: ribosomal RNA, 235 nt
Filed under: Klebsiella pneumoniae
Lineage: Bacteria; Pseudomonadati; Pseudomonadota; Gammaproteobacteria; Enterobacterales; Enterobacteriaceae
Also listed under: 21 other names
Description: partial 23S ribosomal RNA
Rfam family: Bacterial large subunit ribosomal RNA
Source: RNAcentral